This 74-nucleotide ribosomal RNA is filed under the name Paraclostridium bifermentans. The record is from RNAcentral. Lineage: Bacteria; Bacillati; Bacillota; Clostridia; Peptostreptococcales; Peptostreptococcaceae.
UCUAGUUACUAUAGCAAAGAGGAUACACCUGUUCCCAUUCCGAACACAGAAGUUAAGCUCUUUAGCGCCGAUGG